GGCAUAGCUCAGUGGUAGAGUGCAUGCUUAGCAUGCACGAGGUCCUGGAUUCAAUCCCCAGUACUGCUA
RNAcentral lists this transfer RNA (69 nucleotides) under Camelus bactrianus (Bactrian camel). It matches the Rfam family "tRNA". Rfam says of the family: Transfer RNA (tRNA) molecules are approximately 80 nucleotides in length. RNAcentral also lists the same sequence under 2 other names. Lineage: Eukaryota; Metazoa; Chordata; Mammalia; Artiodactyla; Camelidae. The record is from Rfam by way of RNAcentral.